Molecule: small nucleolar RNA, 96 nt
Filed under: Dothistroma septosporum NZE10
Lineage: Eukaryota; Fungi; Ascomycota; Dothideomycetes; Mycosphaerellales; Mycosphaerellaceae
Description: a. fumigatus snoRNA Afu_190
Rfam family: A. fumigatus snoRNA Afu_190
Source: Rfam by way of RNAcentral
ACAUGAUGAGAUACCUAGCUGGCACCAGUCCGAGAAAGACUUGUACUCUUUUUGCUGCGGAAUAGCUUUGCGAGUCACCAGACUCUUUUCCCUGAU